UGAGUAACGCGUGAGGAACCUGCCUUCCAGAGGGGGACAACAGUUGGAAACGACUGCUAAUACCGCAUGAUACAUUUGGGCCGCAUGGUCUGAAUGUCAAAGAUUUAUCGCCGAAAGAUGGCCUCGCGUCUGAUUAGCUAGUUGGUGGGGUAACGGCCCACCAAGGCGACGAUCAGUAGCCGGACUGAGAGGUUGGCCGGCCACAUUGGGACUGAGAUACGGCCCAGACUCCUACGGGAGGCAGCAG
This 247-nucleotide ribosomal RNA is filed under the name uncultured bacterium. RNAcentral describes it as "partial 16S ribosomal RNA". It matches the Rfam family "Bacterial small subunit ribosomal RNA", at positions 107 to 354 of the family's 1533-position model. The record is from RNAcentral.